Molecule: long non-coding RNA, 514 nt
Filed under: Anas platyrhynchos platyrhynchos (common mallard)
Lineage: Eukaryota; Metazoa; Chordata; Aves; Anseriformes; Anatidae
Description: lncRNA (ENSAPLG00000027426.1)
Source: RNAcentral
AGUUUGUAAACAUGCUAAUAAAUUCAGCAAACAAUCCUUAGUCUCAAAGACUAUUUACAAAAAAUAUUCCGGAGUGCACUUGAUACACUGCACACCUAUCUCCAGGAAGCCCUUGUGCACUUGCGAAAGGAGGCCUUUCCACCCCCCAGUGAGAAAAUGCAGAGAGGGCAGCUGAGGAGCUGUAUGGAGGAGCAAGCAGCUACAGAGUCUCUACAGCCACAGCCAACUUCUUACCACAUCUGAAGAGUUUCAAAAAGGAAACUAGCAAGCCACCAUAGCACUGAGGUAGAACCACAACAAAACCUGGGGCAAUGGCAACUGCACGAAUGUAAGCACUUGUUUUCAUUUUCCUCUCCCUUUUUUGACUGUUGUGGGUUUCAGUGGUGGUUUCAAACUCACUUCUUAGAAGUUUCAUUUUCUUUUCUUUUUGUAGCUUGGAUUUAGAUUAAGUAUAAUGGUAGAGGAGGUAAGGCUUGAAUCAUUUCCAUGCAUCAUCACUGUCUAUAUCUUUUUU